CGCCGCGCUCAGAAGAGGGCUCUGAGGCCAUGCCCGCCUGUGGGGGCGGUGGCCGGGCUUCCGGGACCCCAGAGGGAGUCGUCGCGCGCUAGGUGGAGGGGACCACUCUGGAAUCCGGCGGGCCCCGGGCGCAGAUGCAGGAGCGAGUGGGGAGAGCCGCGUUCCUGGCAUGUUUGCCUCGAGUUAGUCACGAAGGAAUCGAAGAGAGCCUCAGUCUUCGAGGCUUUUCCCUUCCUGUGAGCCCCUUUGAGGCCAGCACAUUGAUUUUUUUUUCCUUUCGCAGAACAAUUUCAGACCUCCUGGGGUCUAUGCUAGGUAUAAGGUGUAUCCUUGUCCUCCAUCAAGUAGCAAAGAUAGACAUGUAAACAAAUUUUGACACUGUGAUGACUGCCACAAAAAGCAGCAUUAUGAGGUUGAAUGUAAAAGGAUAACAUUAGCGGCGGCGGGGGCCGGAGGAUGAAGGAAGGCUUCCUGAGGUAGGCGCUGGCGAAACUGAAGUUGGAGAGAGCAAGUGGCAUUUGCUGAAGUGCAUUUUCCGGUAGAAAACUCCAGUGGUCCCUCACCUGACUGAGUGGCGCAGUCAGAGAUAAAUGGAACAGAGUCUACAAAUAAACAUUUUAUAAAGAUGGUCCUUCAAUACAUAUUCUACAGCCCAGUUAAAAUGUGAGAGGCCAUGAUCUAUAGGCAGCCAUUUAUAAAGGUAGAUCGGGGCCGGGCACGGUGGCUCACGUCUGUAAUCCCGGCACUCUGGGAGGCCGAAGCGGGAGGAUCGCUUGAGCUCAGGAGUUCAAAACCAAUCUGGCCAACAUGCUUUAUGUGAUUGACACAGACACGGAAGAGAUCUGGUCCUUAUGAAGAAUUCUGUGCUCGCAGGAAAGAUUUGUAGGAAUAAUGAAAUGCUUUCUUCAUUGAUGAGAUGAAGUCUCUGUUUUUCAGGCAAGUUGACGGAAUAAAACAAUGAGAAACGAACUUCUUUAGAAGGUUGAAUGAAAGUAAGAUCUAGAUGAAAAAGUCAUUGGCCAAAGAUAAUUUUUUAAAAAAACCAUUCUAUGUUAACCCUUGGAAAAAAAAAAAAAAAAAAAGCAACCCAGAGAAAU
RNAcentral lists this long non-coding RNA (1097 nucleotides) under Pongo abelii (Sumatran orangutan). RNAcentral describes it as "lincRNA". The record is from RNAcentral. Lineage: Eukaryota; Metazoa; Chordata; Mammalia; Primates; Hominidae.